UACGGGGGGGGCAAGCGUUGUUCGGAAUUACUGGGCGUAAAGGGUGCGUAGGCGGUGCUCUAAGUCGGAUGUGAAAACUCUGGGCUCAACCCAGAGCCUGCAUCCGAAACUGGAGUGCUAGAGUUCUGGAGGGGGUAGCGGAAUUCCUGGUGUAGCGGUGAAAUGCGUAGAUAUCGAGAGGAACACCAGUGGCGAAGGCGAGUCUCUGGACGACACCUGACACUGAGGCACGAAAGCCAGGGGAGCAAACAGG
RNAcentral lists this ribosomal RNA (253 nucleotides) under uncultured bacterium. Its description in RNAcentral is "partial 16S ribosomal RNA". It matches the Rfam family "Bacterial small subunit ribosomal RNA", at positions 524 to 776 of the family's 1533-position model. The record is from RNAcentral.